CCUACGGGUGGCAGCAGUGAGGAAUAUUGGUCAAUGGUCGAGAGUCUGAACCAGCCAAGUAGCGUGAAGGAUGACUGCCCAGAGGGUUGUAAACCUCUUUUAUAUGGGAAUAAAACAUGGUAUGCAUACCCUCUUGUAUGUACCAGAUGAAUAAGGAUCGGCUAACUCCGUGCCAGCAGCCGCGGUAAUACGGAGGAUCCGAGCGUUAUCCGGAUUUAUUGGGUUUAAAGGGAGCGUAGGGGGAUUGUUAAGUCAGGUGUGAAAGUUUGGGGCUCAACCGUAAAAGUGCAGUUGAAACUGGCAGUCUUGAGUACAGUAGAGGUGUGCGGAAUGCGUGGUGUAGCGGUGAAAUGCUUAGAUAUCACGAAGAACUCCGAUUGCGAAGGCAGCUCACUGGACUGCAACUGACACUGAUGCUCGAAAGUGUGGGUAUCAAACAGUAUUAGAUACCCGUGUAGUC
Molecule: ribosomal RNA, 460 nt
Filed under: uncultured bacterium
Lineage: Bacteria
Description: partial 16S ribosomal RNA
Rfam family: Bacterial small subunit ribosomal RNA
Source: RNAcentral